UUUAUUUUUGAAUAAGGCACAUAUCACCUCUGGUGAAAUCAUUAUAACUGACUGUCAAUAAUGUUCAAGAAGACAGAAUUUUAAUACAUACCAAAUGGCACCCCUUGGGGAGGGGGUGGGUGUGGAAAAAAAGCUAACCAAGAACUUAGAUGUACAUAUAUUCACAAUGAUGAUUACCCAGCAGGAAUAUCUUAGAACAAGGCUGCUUGCUGUGACCAUAAAAAUUAACGAUAUUAUGUUCUUUGCAGCAACAUGGAUAGAGCUGGACAACAUUAUUCUAAGAAUACUAAUGCAGUAACAGAAAACCGAACACUGCAUGUUCUCAUUUACAAGUGGGAGCUGAACAUUGAGUACACAUGGACACAAAGAAGGGACCAAUAGACACCAUGGCAUACUUGAGGGCGGAGGGUGGGAGGAGGGUGAAGACCGAAAAAUAACCUAUUAGAUACUAUGCUUAUUACCUGGGUGAUGAAAUAAUAUGUACGCCAAAUCCCCCACAACAUGUAAUAACCUGCACAUGUACCCCUGAAACUAAAAGUUAAAAAUAUAAUUACUACUAUUUUAAAGUAUCUAGGUGCUCUGAAAUAUACAAAACACAGAUAGCACCUGCACUUAAGGAAAUCAUAAUUGAAUUCACGAGGCAAGGGAUACAUAAGCCAAAUUUAAAGAAAAUAAAGCAAAGAAAAUAUAGUGAAUUAAAAGGCAAUUGACUUAUUGUGGUGCAAUACAAUGACAACCACAGAAGCUUACAGCAGGUCAUGAUGCAGGAACAUGACAGAGGAGGGGGCUGUAUUGCAGCUAUGGCUGUGCAUCACAUUUGGGGUGAGGAACCAACACUUUGGCAUGUGAGUCAAGAUCUCACCAUCUAGUCCUAGUGAAUACUCUAAUAUAUUAUAUAUUUCAUACAUUAUGUAGGCUAUUUAGUAUAUAGCAUAUAACACAACUUUUAUGAUAUAUGUUAUAUAGGCUCUAUAGAAUACAGCAUAUAAUACAACUUUCAUUAUAUGCAAUAUAUGUUAUAUUACAUUUGAACUAGGUGUGUAAUACAAUAUAUGAUAAAUUAUAUGCUUUUCAUGAAUCAUUAUAUAAUUAUGUAUUAGCCCGUUUUCAUGUAGCUGAAAAAUACAUACCCCAAACUGGGUAAUUUAUAAAGAAAGAGAGCUUUAAGGGACUCACAGUUUUAUAUGGCUGGGGAGGCCUCACAAUCAUGGUGGAAAGUUAAAGGUACAUCUCACAUGGCAGCAGGCAAGAGAGAGAAUGAGAGCCAAGCAAAAGGGUUUUCCUCUUAUAAAACCAUCAGAUCUCAUGAGAUUUAUUCACUACCACGAGAAAAGUAUGGGAGAAAACAUCCCUGUGAUUCAAUUACCUUCCACUGGGUUCCUCCCACAACUUGUGGGGAUUAUGGAAGCUACAAUUCAAGAUAAGAUUGGGUGGGGAAACAGUUAAACCAUAUAAUUCCACUCCUGCCCCCUCCCAAAUCUCAAGUCCUCACAUUUCAAGCCACUUAGUUACUUCCUAGAUACAAUGGGGGUAUGGGCAUUGGAUAAAUACAGCCGUUCCAAAUGGGAGAAAUUGCCCAAAACAAAAGAGCUACAAGGCCCAUGCAAGUCUGAACUCCAGCAGGACAGCCAAAUCUUAAAGCUCUGAAAUGAUCUCUUUUGACUCCAUGUAUCACAUCCAGGUCACGCUGUUGUGAGAGGUGGGCUCACAUUGUCUUGGGCAGCUCCGACCCUGUGGCUUUACAGGGUACAGCCCCUGUGCCCAGCUGCCUUCAUGGGCUAGCUAGCACUGGGUGUCUGUGGCUUUUCCAGGUGCACUGUGAAAGCUGUUGAUGGAUCUACUAUUCUGGGGUCUGGAGUACAGUGACCCUCUUUUCACAGCUCCACUAGGCAAUGCCCCAGUGGGGACUCUGUGUGAGGCUCCAACCCCAUAUUUCCCUUCCACACUGCCCUGGCAAAGGUUCUCCAUGAGGGCCCUGUCCCUGCAGGAAACUUCUGACUGGACAUCCAGGCAUUUUCAUACUUCCUCUGUAAUCUAGGCAGAGGUUCCCAAACCUUAACUCUUCACUUCUGUGCACUCGCAGGCUCAACACCAUGUGGAAGCUGCCAAGGCUUGGGGCUUCCACCCUCUGAAGCCACAACCUGAGCUGUACCUUGGCCCCUUUUAGCCAUGGCUAGAGUGGCUGGGAUGCAGGGCACCAAGUCCCUAGGCUGCACAUGGCAGGGGUCCCUAGGCCCAGCCCAUGAGACCAUUUCUUCCUCCUAGGCCUCUGGGUCUGUGAUGGGAGGCACUGCUGCAAACAUCUCUGACAUGUCCUGGAGACACUUUUCCCAUUGUCUUGGGGAUUGACAUUCAGCUCCUCAUUACUUAUGCACAUUACUUCAGCGGGCUUGAAUUUCUCCUCAGAAAAUAGAUUUUCCUUUUCUAUCACAUCAUCAGGCUGCAAAUUUUCUGAAUUUUUAUGCUGUUUUCCUUUUAAAACCAAAUGCUUUUAGCAUCACCUAAAUCAUAUCUUGAAUGCUGUGCUGCUUAGAAAUUUCUUCCGCCAGAUAUCCUAAAUAA
This 2562-nucleotide long non-coding RNA is filed under the name Homo sapiens (human). Its description in RNAcentral is "non-protein coding lnc-EFNB2-7:1". The record is from RNAcentral. Lineage: Eukaryota; Metazoa; Chordata; Mammalia; Primates; Hominidae.